RNAcentral lists this ribosomal RNA (468 nucleotides) under uncultured bacterium. Its description in RNAcentral is "partial 16S ribosomal RNA". It matches the Rfam family "Bacterial small subunit ribosomal RNA", at positions 28 to 507 of the family's 1533-position model. The record is from RNAcentral.
GACGAACGCUGGCGGCGUGCUUAACACAUGCAAGUCGAACGGAAAGGCCCUGCUUUUGUGGGGUGCUCGAGUGGCGAACGGGUGAGUAACACGUGAGUAACCUGCCCUUGACUUUGGGAUAACUACAGGAAACUGGGGCUAAUACCGGAUAGGAGCUCCUGCUGCAUGGUGGGGGUUGGAAAGUUUCGGCGGUUGGGGAUGGACUCGCGGCUUAUCAGCUUGUUGGUGGGGUAGUUGCUUACCAAGGCUUUGACGGGUAGCCGGCCUGAGAGGGUGACCGGCCACAUUGGGACUGAGAGACGGACCAGAAUCCUACGGGAGGCAGCAGGGGGGAAUAUUGCACAAUGGGCGGAAGCCUGAGGCAGCAACGCCGCGUGCGGGAUGACGGCCUUCGGGUUGUAAACCGCUUUCGCCUGUGACGAAGCGUGAGUGACGGUAAUGGGUAAAGAAGCACCGGCUAACUACGUG